This 470-nucleotide ribosomal RNA is filed under the name uncultured bacterium. Its description in RNAcentral is "bacterial SSU rRNA". It matches the Rfam family "Bacterial small subunit ribosomal RNA", at positions 28 to 507 of the family's 1533-position model. The record is from RNAcentral.
GACGAACGCUGGCGGCGCGCCUAACACAUGCAAGUCGAACGAGCGAGAGAGAGCUUGCUUUCUCAAGCGAGUGGCGAACGGGUGAGUAACGCGUGAGGAACCUGCCUCAAAGAGGGGGACAACAGUUGGAAACGACUGCUAAUACCGCAUAAGCCCACGGCUCGGCAUCGAGCAGAGGGAAAAAGGAGCAAUCCGCUUUGAGAUGGCCUCGCGUCCGAUUAGCUAGUUGGUGAGGUAAUGGCCCACCAAGGCGACGAUCGGUAGCCGGACUGAGAGGUUGAACGGCCACAUUGGGACUGAGACACGGCCCAGACUCCUACGGGAGGCAGCAGUGGGAAUAUUGCACAAUGGGGGAAACCCUGAUGCAGCGACGCCGCGUGGAGGAAGAAGGUCUUCGGAUUGGUAAAACUCCUGUUGUUGAGGAAGAUAAUGACGGUACUCAACAAGGAAGUGAACGGCUAAACUACGUG